This 350-nucleotide unclassified non-coding RNA is filed under the name soil metagenome. RNAcentral's name for it is "partial contains 5.8S ribosomal RNA, internal transcribed spacer 2, and large subunit ribosomal RNA". The stretch from base 1 to 120 matches the Rfam family "5.8S ribosomal RNA", at positions 35 to 154 of the family's 154-position model. The record is from RNAcentral.
GAUGAAGAACGUAGCGAAAUGCGAUAAGUAAUGUGAAUUGCAGAAUUCAGUGAAUCAUCGAAUCUUUGAACGCACAUUGCACCCGCCAGUAUUCUGGCGGGCAUGCCUGUUCGAGCGUCAUUUCAACCCUCAAGCCCAGCUUGGUGUUGGGGAUCGGCACAGGCGCCCUCGGGCGCCCGCCGUCCCCUAAAUCUAGUGGCGGUCCCGCUGCAGCCUCCUCUGCGUAGUAGUUUUCUCCUCGCAAGGGCAGCUCGGUGGCGACCUCGCCGUAAAACCCCCAACUUCUGAAAGGUUGACCUCGAAUCAGGUAGGAAUACCCGCUGAACUUAAGCAUAUCAAUAAGCGGAGGA